RNAcentral lists this ribosomal RNA (423 nucleotides) under uncultured bacterium. RNAcentral describes it as "bacterial SSU rRNA". It matches the Rfam family "Bacterial small subunit ribosomal RNA", at positions 362 to 776 of the family's 1533-position model. The record is from RNAcentral.
UAUUGCGCAAUGGACGAAAGUCUGACGCAGCGACGCCGCGUGUGGGAGGAAGCCUUUCGGGGUGUAAACCACUGUCAGGAGGGAAGAAACUCGCCGGCCCGAACAGGAACGGCGAUUGACGGUACCUCCAAAGGAAGCGCCGGCUAACUCCGUGCCAGCAGCCGCGGUAAGACGGAGGGCGCAAGCGUUGUUCGGAAUUACUGGGCGUAAAGCGCGGGCAGGCGGUCUGUUAAGUCGUUUGUGAAAAUCCGGAGCUCAACUCCGGAAAUGCGUACGAUACUGGCAGGCUGGAGAUCGGUAGAGGCUAGCGGAAUUCCUGGUGUAGCGGUGGAAUGCGUAGAUAUCAGGAAGAACACCUGUGGCGAAGGCGGCUAGCUGGGCCGAGUCUGACGCUCAUCCGCGAAAGCGUGGGGAGCAAACAGG